AGUGAAGUGGCAGAAAUAGUGCUUCAGAUUUAAGCUCUGACCAAGGAUACACCUCCCUUUACUA
Molecule: transfer RNA, 64 nt
Filed under: Leaunio lienosus
Lineage: Eukaryota; Metazoa; Mollusca; Bivalvia; Unionida; Unionidae
Description: tRNA-Leu
Source: RNAcentral